This 492-nucleotide ribosomal RNA is filed under the name uncultured bacterium. RNAcentral describes it as "partial 16S ribosomal RNA". It matches the Rfam family "Bacterial small subunit ribosomal RNA", at positions 29 to 507 of the family's 1533-position model. The record is from RNAcentral.
AGUGAGCGCUGGCGGUAGGCCUAACACAUGCAAGUCGAACGGCAGCACAGUAAGAGCUUGCUCUUACGGGUGGCGAGUGGCGGACGGGUGAGGAAUACAUCUGAAUCUACUUUUUCGUGGGGGAUAACGUAGGGAAACUUACGCUAAUACCGCAUACGACCUACGGGUGAAAGCAGGGGAUCUUCGGACCUUGCGCGAUUGAAUGAGCCGAUGUCGGAUUAGCUAGUUGGCGGGGUAAAGGCCCACCAAGGCGACGAUCCGUAGCUGGUCUGAGAGGAUGAUCAGCCACACUGGAACUGAGACACGGUCCAGACUCCUACGGGAGGCAGCAGUGGGGAAUAUUGGACAAUGGGCGCAAGCCUGAUCCAGCCAUACCGCGUGGGUGAAGAAGGCCUUCGGGUUGUAAAGCCCUUUUGUUGGGAAAGAAAAGCAGCAGGUUAAUACCCCGCUGUUCUGACGGUACCCAAAGAAUAAGCACCGGCUAACUUCGUG